GGCCUGAUGGUCUAGUAGUAUGAUUCCUUGUUAGGGUUGUAAAAUCAUUUCGAGGAGGUCCUGGGUUCAAUUCCCAGUCAGGCCC
This 85-nucleotide transfer RNA is filed under the name Crucibulum laeve. Its description in RNAcentral is "tRNA-Pro". It matches the Rfam family "tRNA". From Rfam's summary of the family: Transfer RNA (tRNA) molecules are approximately 80 nucleotides in length. Their secondary structure includes four short double-helical elements and three loops (D, anti-codon, and T loops). The record is from RNAcentral. Lineage: Eukaryota; Fungi; Basidiomycota; Agaricomycetes; Agaricales; Nidulariaceae.